Long non-coding RNA from Cygnus olor (mute swan), 3532 nucleotides. RefSeq lists it as uncharacterized. The record is from RefSeq and is a predicted model, not a curated record. The transcript is spliced from 3 exons. Lineage: Eukaryota; Metazoa; Chordata; Aves; Anseriformes; Anatidae.
GCUCCUGUUGCUUUGGUAUUGAAACACCUCCCUUUCCUACAUGUUUUUAAUUCUUGCAACCCUAUUACAAACGAAAGAUGUUUUUUGUUUUUUUUUCCUUGGUUUACAGGACAGACCCAGUGCUGUCAAGAAAACUACCUCAGGCUGUAUCAGCAGGCAUCAUCUGUCUAUCCAGCUUUCCGUUCCCAUCUUUACAUUAUCUCUAAAUUCAAGGCAGGCGAUUUGCUGCUUGUCUUCUGUGGGCAUUACUCAAACCUUUCUCCUGGAGGCUUUAGGACUUGCCACGGUCAGAGCUAGGAAGAGGUUGGAACCCGUUUAAAAAGGUCCUGAGCCCCCGUGUCCUGUGGAUCUGCUCUGCAUGUUGCCUGCAUUGCGAGCUGCGCAAUGAACAAUAAACCUGGUGCUCCAUGCUGCUGCAUGUAGAAGAUGAAAUGUUGGCCCAGGCUGUCUUUCUGGAGGCUCACGAGUGACAGAUGUUGCUUUAGUUAAGGUAACCUAACGAGAAGGCUGAGCCUGAUGCUGCUGUGCCACUGCCACUUGCUAGAGUUGCUCCAAAUGCCCUCCCUUCGGAGAGAAAUACUGGGAUUGUUGGCCCCAGCGCCCUGACUCUGGUAAUUCCUAUGGUAACAGGAGUAGGAGGCUGCAUCUUUCAGGACCCUUUGUGUGCUUUAGACGGUCUUUGGAUAUACAUACAACACUGCUUUAUCUUAAUUUUUAUUUCAAUAGUAUCUCUGGAAACAAAUAGCACCAUAGGGCAGAGCCAUCUUCCCUGAGAGACUCCCCUCCAACAACAGCCCAGGCUGACUCAGGUCCAGGAGAAUCCUAUCAAAUGCAGCCCAAAUGUCUGAGCAAGGCAUCAUCUUCCUAUUUGCAUCCACACUUAAAUUUGCAGAGCUUUUCAAACCUGCCCCUGGAGGCCUUCACCCGAGGAGUCUGCAAAAGGUAACUCAAAGAGAAAACCAUCUCAGGAUGGGAUUUCCAGAGGGAAACUUGGAGGCUUCUACAGGUUGGAAAAAAAAAAAAAAGGCUAAAAACCCACUAGUCCAUAUGAAUGAAAGAACUCAGUGGAAAGCUCUCCCUUUCACUCCCUUGCAAGAUUAAAACUGCUUUUGGCAAAGCAGGAGACGUCUCCGUGAUUUCACAUUCAGCUGUAGGGCCAGACGGAAUCCCUCGGAGCGCUGGGCUGACCUCCUGCACGCCGCUGGCCAGGGAUUUCCACCUCCGCUCCCGCGCACUCUGAGCAGUCCCCGGUGGAGCUGGGACGUUGUCUCUGCGGGAGAGGCAUCCAGUCGUGCUGCAGGGAUCACAAACAACUGGGGAAUUCGCUGCCUCUCCCCGCCCUGGUAAGCUCUUCCAAGGGCUGGAUGUGCCAGCAACGCCAUUUACUCAUAUGGAAAAACAGGAUGACUAAGAAAAUACUCAGUGUGAGCUUGGUCCUGAUGGAUUUUAAUGCAGUUUGGCACAUGAGGGGAAGGGAAGAAGAGGAGGAGCUUAAAUCGUCACUAUCGAAUGUUCCCAAUGCCCAUCUGUAAGUGCAAAACCUCCUUACCUUGUCUUUAGCACUUAGAUUUAGGAAAGCCACCUCACCUGUUACUAUACCAUGCUUUUACGGUGGCCUUUUCAUCUGCUGUCUUCUGUGCCAGUAUGACAUAUCCCCAAAAUGUCCAUCUCCUCCAUAUUACUAAAAUUCCCAUCAGUGGCUGCAUCUCUGCUUCCUGCUUUGUCUCUGUUUGACAGUACUCACUGCAGGAACAUCCAGGCCAGCUCAGCAUGUGCUGCUUGGCCUUGUUCUUAUUCCACGGCUCAGAUUUGUGCAGAAGGUGUUUAUAAUUAGUCCAGAAAAGUUGAGUUUCGAUGCACUUUCUCAUCACAUCAGACUUUGCUUCUGCAUGAAGGUUUGCAAAUGCAAGCCUUGAGUGGCUGGGGAAAUUUCAAGUCUAGGUGAAGACUGGUUGGAUGGAAUUAGUGACAGGUAAAGUCUCUGUUCUGCAUCCUUCGUUAGGCCCUAUCUCUCUAUUUUUACCUCUGUGAGAGUCUAAUCUUUUCCCUUAAGGCCUUUGAUGAUAGUGGGAGCAAGAAAACGCUUAACCCAAGGCCUCUUUUUGUUCUGGUCACAUAUGAAAGAAGAGCAGAGAGCUUUUGCUUUAGUUGCAGACAGGAACAGAAAUCCUCGCUGAGAAAACCCGACUCCACAGGAGGUGCGUCUCAGAACAAGGGAGAAGCGUGUCGUGUCCACACAAGCCAACAGUAGCACAGCCUGCUACAGACCCCAUGGGCUGCUGAGAAUCUCUAUCAUUCACAUCUCAUGAACUGGUUUGGCGCAUCUCCAGAGGACAUUGGCAGCUGUUCAAGGCCCUGCAAGGUGCUGAACAUGCAGAAGUUCCCGUUGUCUCCGACGUGUGCUUGCGCACGGGGAUGGAUUACCUGAGUUUGCCAGUGCGAGGGGGAUUGGGAUUUGGCUGGGCUCGUGUCUGUCAGUGGUGAAGGCUUUGUAAAAGGGCUUUCCGCUUCGCCUGUGAACUGCAGCUGCUUCUCCAAAUGCAAUAGUGUCCUGUAGGUUACAGCAGCUGCUUGCACCCUAAUGUUGCAUGGCUGCAGGUAAGGCCAUGGGGCAGGCAUCAGGACGGUGGAUGAGAUGGAUGCACGUGAGGACAGGAAUGGAGAAAUGCUGAAAGCCCGUUGUGUUGGUGCCACAACGGAGAGGGAGAACAGCCCCUGAGUGGGCCAUGGUGAUGCUGCUGGUUGGGGGUAAAUGGUAAAGGGUAACUGACUUGCUUUGAGCUCUGCACGCUGUCACAGGGUGUGUGAUUUUUUUGCUGGGGUUGUGGAUAGGUGGGAAGGGCCGAUUGGGAAUCAGGAGCAGGAGAACUGAGGGAGCUGGGGACAAGCAGUGGCCGUGAGCUGCGGGAAGGGUGUGAAGGAGCCCUGGGGGUGCAGGACCAUAUCCCAGGGGUGAGAGUGGGGCAGGAAGGGGGGCACAGGGUGUGGGAGAGCCCCAGCCCACGAGCGUGCUCUUAGCACGUGUAUUCACGCACGUGGUUCUCUCAAUUGGUCCUGAAAGGGGCUGCGACUGGGGAUAAAAUGUCAUGGUAGCAGCCAGUGGCUAUAAAACCCUGGGUCUAAACGAAAGGGAAAAAGUGACAAGGGGAAAAGCAAGGUCGGCCCCACCUUGCAGGGUCUGCUCUGGAAUGUGUUUGCACUCCAGGGUGUGCAGUGCCUGAGAGUGCGUUAGCAGCAGUGUUGAGUUAGUAAUACGAACCCUAUACAAAUACCUCCGGGGCAGACAGGUCCAUUUCAGGCUGUGUUUAUUUAAUAAAGAGCCAGUGAAGUAACUGCAAUUUCAUUGUCAAUUUACUAAUGCGUUACAGUUAUGUUUCUUAACCUCAUUGUUUGGGCUCAGGAGCUUGCAGUGCCUGGCCAAAACUUUCCUUUUUUCUCCCCCUUGUUCCCCCCCUCAAGUGUAAAACACGUUUUAUUAUGACUAGAAUGUCUUCUAUUUAUCAAAAGCUGGGAUUAGAACCCUCAACUCCCC